Helianthus annuus (common sunflower) is the source of this 1768-nucleotide long non-coding RNA. RefSeq lists it as uncharacterized. The record is from RefSeq and is a predicted model, not a curated record. NCBI's taxonomy places the organism in Eukaryota, Viridiplantae, Streptophyta, Magnoliopsida, Asterales, Asteraceae. The transcript has 2 exons.
AACUGGUGCACAGUUAAUAUAGCAUAAGGUGCAACGUGGGGAUGCACAACAUAAUAUGAUAUGUACACGGCGUGACGGCGGACAACUAAGGUAAAACAUGGGAAAUAGAAAGCUGGAGAGACGAAUUGUGUUGCUACCGGAAAGCUUGUAAUAUGAUUCUAUCCGGCUUCACCAUCACCGAAAACUGAAUCUGAGACGCCUACGUGAAACCGGAUCUGAAAUCGCUUCAUAUACAUCUUGCUACCCCGUCAGAAAACGGUAGUAAUCGCCAGAAUACCUUAACCGGAAAAUAGAUAAAUCAUUGCAUGUCGUCUAAAUCUCUGCCCCGCUCUUCGGUUCUCAUAAAAGCACCACAAUCGGCUGAGAAGAUGACUCCCUCUCCACUUCCCCCACUUCAGAUUUUAGAUCUGAAACCAAGAAACGUUGGUGACGAACAUCAAAAUGGUGAUGAUGGCUGGAGUGUAGCCGCGUGGAACGACUUUCGUUAACGCCGGUAAAUUUCCUACUGUACACGGAACAUUUUUGGUGAGCUGAUUGCAGCUAAGAUCAAGAGUUUGAAGUCCGAUAAACUCACCUAACAUGGUUCGUUAUUUUACCGGAUAUAAAGUUCCGACUUAUGGAUAAAAACCCAAGGCUUUUCAGCUUCGAUAAUGUCGUUGAAAUGGUAUUGGGGAUUGGGAAUGUAACUCUGUGGGUUUUUUAGAAAAUAAUUUCAAAAGAUAACAAAAAGUCAAAGCUAUGAUGGGCCUUUAAUUUGUUUAAACAUUGUUGUUAAUGGUCAAAUGAUUGUGGGCCGUUAGGUUUAACUAGGCCAGAUUUAAUAGAAAUCAAUUAUGGGCUGUGGAUGACUUUGGACUGAAAAUGUAAGAACGACCCAGUCUAUCUUUAAUUAAAUAGUUAUAAGGAUAAAUUACACUUUUCAUCCUUUAUAUUUAUAGCGGGUGGCAAUAGAUGACCUUUAACUUCGAUAAUUACAGUCACAGUUCUUUAUUUGCAAAACCCGUUACAUUUUACGUCCUUUGACCCUAACCUGGUUAAAAAUUUCAGUUAAGUGAGAUUAUGUGCAACCCAUAUGAGGGCAAAACAGUCAUUUAAUAAAUGAAUGUCAAAAUUAAAAAAAAUCUUUAAACCUAAACCAUCAUCUUCAUCAUCUCCCCCUGUACACUCAGAUAUGAUAAAAGAUCAAGAUCAGCCCCUCACAUCCACCAAAUCUGAGACGGCUGUUUAAAAUGUCUGUUGAAAAAAAAAAAAAAAAAAACCUCAACCUCUCUCUCUUAAUCUGAACCCAAAUCUUAUGAACAUCAGAUCUGGAUCUAAUCUCUGAUACAAAACCCAUUUUUACCCAACCAAACCCUAAAAUCACUACCAACACACUCCCAAUGUCUUCUUCCAUACUCUCAAAACCUGCAACUCAUUUGGUAUGGUGGUCGGAUUUUGGAGUCAAAGAGACGAAUCAGUCGAAGAAUCGAGUGAAAGAGAAGAAGAACUACUCUGAAAUAGACAAACAGCCGUCUCAGGUGUCAAUCGGCGCAUGAACAAGGACGAUCUCUUCGACCACUGCUCUAGAACCGCCCCCGCUUCGAUGGUGGUGGUGGUGGUGGUUGGUGGAAGUUAUAGAGAUAAAGUUGAGAUAGAGAGCUGGUGGGGUGGUGUAGUUGUGUUUGAUUCAGAUUUCUAGACUAUCGAUUUGGAUUUUUACUUGAAAUUUGUAAAUAGAUUGAAGAAUUUGAAAUGAACUAGCAUUAAUUUUGUUCAUGAGGUUUUUGUA